UAGGGAAUCUUCGGCAAUGGGGGGAACCCUGACCGAGCAACGCCGCGUGAGUGAAGAAGGUUUUCGGAUCGUAAAGCUCUGUUGUUAAGGAAGAACGAGUGUGAGAAUGGAAAGUUCAUGCUGUGACGGUACUUAACCAGAAAGGGACGGCUAACUACGUGCCAGCAGCCGCGGUAAUACGUAGGUCCCGAGCGUUGUCCGGAUUUAUUGGGCGUAAAGCGAGCGCAGGCGGUCAAUUAAGUCUGAUGUGAAAGCCCACGGCUCAACCGUGGAGGGUCAUUGGAAACUGGAAAACUUGAGUGCAGAAGAGGAAAGUGGAAUUCCAUGUGUAGCGGUGAAAUGCGCAGAGAUAUGGAGGAACACCAGUGGCGAAGGCGACUUUCUGGUCUGUAACUGACGCUGAUGUGCGAAAGCGUGGGGAUCAAACAGG
Molecule: ribosomal RNA, 430 nt
Filed under: Bacteroidota bacterium
Lineage: Bacteria; Pseudomonadati; Bacteroidota
Description: Bacteroidetes bacterium partial 16S ribosomal RNA
Rfam family: Bacterial small subunit ribosomal RNA
Source: RNAcentral